GACAGCCAGGAUGUUGGCUUAGAAGCAGCCAUCAUUUAAAGAAAGCGUAAUAGCUCACUGGUCGAGUCGGCCUGCGCGGAAGAUGUAACGGGGCUAAACCAUGCACCGAAGCUGCGGCAGCGACACUCAGGUGUUGUUGGGUAGGGGAGCGUUCUGUAAGCCUGUGAAGGUGGCCUGUGAGGGUUGCUGGAGGUAUCAGAAGUGCGAAUGCUGACAUAAGUAACGAUAAAGCGCGUGAACCGCGGCCGCGGCGGA
This 255-nucleotide ribosomal RNA is filed under the name Salmonella enterica subsp. enterica serovar Goldcoast. RNAcentral's name for it is "partial 23S ribosomal RNA". It matches the Rfam family "Bacterial large subunit ribosomal RNA", at positions 1088 to 1343 of the family's 2925-position model. The record is from RNAcentral. Lineage: Bacteria; Pseudomonadati; Pseudomonadota; Gammaproteobacteria; Enterobacterales; Enterobacteriaceae.